CGCUGGCGGCAUGCCUAAGACAUGCAAGUCGAACGAGGUGGCCCAUAUUUGAUGGAGUGCUUGCAACAAAAUUAAAAAAUGGAUUUCCACCUAGUGGCAGACGGGUGAGUAACACGUGGGUGACCUACCUUUAAGCUGGGGAUAACAGUUGGAAACGAUUGCUAAUACCGAAUGAGAUAUAAUUGUCGUGAUUAUAUUGAAAGGAGCUUUCAAGCUUCACUUAAAGAUGGGCCUGCGGCGUAUUAACUAGUUGGUGGGGUAAUGGCCUACCAAGGUGACGAUGCGUAGCCGAACUGAGAGGUUGAUCGGCCACACUGGGACUGAGACACGGCCCAGACUCCUACGGGAGACAGCAGUUAGGGAUAUUCGUCAAUGGGGGAAACCCUGAACGAGCAAUGCCGCGUGAGUGAUGAAGGUCUUUGGAUUGUAAAACUCUGUUGUAUGGAAAAAAUGACUAGGUUAGGAAAUGAACUUAGUGUGAUGGUACCAUACCAGAAAGCCCCGGCUAACUACGUGCCAGCAGCAGC
Molecule: ribosomal RNA, 527 nt
Filed under: uncultured bacterium
Lineage: Bacteria
Description: bacterial SSU rRNA
Rfam family: Bacterial small subunit ribosomal RNA
Source: RNAcentral